This is a long non-coding RNA of Pistacia vera, 533 nucleotides long. RefSeq lists it as uncharacterized. Lineage: Eukaryota; Viridiplantae; Streptophyta; Magnoliopsida; Sapindales; Anacardiaceae. The record is from RefSeq and is a predicted model, not a curated record. The transcript has 3 exons.
UUUGGAUGUGGGCCAAUCUGAGAGAGGAAAUGUCCUUAAAGGAUUAGAUCUCGGUGUUGAAGGCAUGCAUGUUGGAGGGCAGCGACUGCUAAUAGUUCCUCCUGAGCUGCUUAUGGAAGUAAAGGAGUCCAGGAAAUCCCUCCAAAUGCAACAAUAGAGGGGUGUCUAGACCAGCUUACGCACACUUCAACUAAUCCCUUAAAGCCUUAAAGUGAACAGCCGAAUAAAUCCUCUCAAUGGUCAUCCCUAUUAGUGCCUAGGGGUGUAUCUCAACUAAUCAUUCUAGGCCCUGAACUGAACAAUCAGGUAAAUCCUCUCAAUAGUCAUCCCUAUUAGUGCCUGAGGGACUCGAACUUAGAAACCUAUGUUGGACCCCUUUGCUCUUUUACCAGCAGACCACUUAAUGAUGGUUUUUCUAGACCCUUUUGCUCUUUUACCAUCAGGCUACGUAAUGGUGGUUUAUUUGCUAUUACAUUCCUUCUACCUUUCCAUUGAUGUCUCCUACACUUCAUCUUUACAUUUAUCUUUCAUUU